RNAcentral lists this ribosomal RNA (460 nucleotides) under uncultured bacterium. Its description in RNAcentral is "partial 16S ribosomal RNA". It matches the Rfam family "Bacterial small subunit ribosomal RNA", at positions 338 to 795 of the family's 1533-position model. The record is from RNAcentral.
CCUACGGGAGGCAGCAGUGAGGAAUAUUGGUCAAUGGGCGUAAGCCUGAACCAGCCAAGUCGCGUGAGGGAUGAAGGUUCUAUGGAUCGUAAACCUCUUUUAUAAGGGAAUAAAGUGUGGGACGUGUCCUAUUUUGUAUGUACCUUAUGAAUAAGGAUCGGCUAACUCCGUGCCAGCAGCCGCGGUAAUACGGAGGAUCCGAGCGUUAUCCGGAUUUAUUGGGUUUAAAGGGUGCGUAGGCGGCCUUUUAAGUCAGCGGUGAAAGUCUGUGGCUCAACCAUAGAAUUGCCGUUGAAACUGGGGGUCUUGAGUAUGUUUGAGGCAGGCGGAAUGCGUGGUGUAGCGGUGAAAUGCUUAGAUAUCACGCAGAACCCCGAUUGCGAAGGCAGCAUACCGGUGCACAACUGACGCUCAGGCACGAAAGCGUGGGUAUCGAACAGGAUUAGAUACCCGUGUAGUC